Molecule: long non-coding RNA, 234 nt
Filed under: Drosophila guanche
Lineage: Eukaryota; Metazoa; Arthropoda; Insecta; Diptera; Drosophilidae
Source: RNAcentral
CCCCACUCCGCCACCCUGCCCUACCCCACCGCACCACACACAAUCCACACACAGACACUCGACUGCCUUCCAGCAGAGCGAAAACCAGCUGUUGUUGUAGUUGCUCCAUUCGCCGGCUUCCCAGCCCGGCACGAGACUUUUUUUUGUGAACCCUCUCAGCUGUUCGUUCGCCCGGCAUCGGAAAUGGAAUUCAGCUGCAGCACUACAUAUGUACAUGAGUAUGUGUGUCUACUU